UGCGCCUGUAGCUCAGUUGGAUAGAGCAACGGACUUCGAAUCCGUAGGUCGCACGUUCGAGCCGUGUCGGGCGCACGUU
RNAcentral lists this transfer RNA (79 nucleotides) under Treponema vincentii ATCC 35580. RNAcentral describes it as "tRNA-Arg". It matches the Rfam family "tRNA". From Rfam's summary of the family: Transfer RNA (tRNA) molecules are approximately 80 nucleotides in length. Lineage: Bacteria; Pseudomonadati; Spirochaetota; Spirochaetia; Treponematales; Treponemataceae. The record is from RNAcentral.